UGACAAAACCUCGUGACAAGACCGAGA
This 27-nucleotide non-coding RNA is filed under the name Bombyx mori (domestic silkworm). The record is from RNAcentral. Lineage: Eukaryota; Metazoa; Arthropoda; Insecta; Lepidoptera; Bombycidae.